This 764-nucleotide ribosomal RNA is filed under the name uncultured bacterium. RNAcentral's name for it is "bacterial SSU rRNA". It matches the Rfam family "Bacterial small subunit ribosomal RNA", at positions 1 to 792 of the family's 1533-position model. The record is from RNAcentral.
GGGCCGAUCGCCUUGAGUUGAUCAUGGCUCAGAAUCAACGCUGGCGGCGCGCUUAACACAUGCAAGUCGAACGAGAAAGGGGAGCAAUCCCUGAGUAAAGUGGCGUACGGGUGAGUAACACGUGGGUAAUCUACCUUUUGGUGGGGAAUAACCCUGGGAAACCGGGGCUAACACCGCAUAAGCUCGAAAGAGGAAAAGAGAAAUCUGCCGAAAGAGGAGCCCGCGGCUGAUUAGCUAGUUGGUGAGGUAAAGGCUCACCAAGGCAAUGAUCGGUAGCCGGCCUGAGAGGGCACACGGCCACACUGGCACUGAAACACGGGCCAGACUCCUACGGGAGGCAGCAGUGGGGAAUCUUGCACAAUGGGGGAAACCCUGAUGCAGCGACGCCGCGUGAGUGAUGAAGCCCUUCGGGGUGUAAAGCUCUUUCGGCAGGGACGAUAAUGACGGUACCUGAAGAAGAAGCUGCGGCUAACUACGUGCCAGCAGCCGCGGUAAUACGUAGGCAGCGAGCGUUGUUCGGAGUUACUGGGCGUAAAGAGUGCGUAGGCGGUUUUCUAAGUUUGGUGUGAAAUCUCCCGGCUCAACUGGGAGGGUGCGCCGAAGACUGGAAGGCUUGAGUAUGGGAGAGGUAAGCGGAAUUCCUGGUGUAGCGGUGAAAUGCGUAGAUAUCAGGAGGAACACCAGCGGUGUAGACGGCUUACUGGACCAUAACUGACGCUGAAGCACGAAAGCGUGGGUAGCAAACAGGAUUAGAUACCCUGGUA